CAGAACAAUGUGGAAAGCACAUACAAGAUGCCUCCGAAAAUCAGCUGGACGGUGGGAGGGAUCAAGAAUGACUGCCGUCACCAUGGAAACUCCUUGAUGGCGAGAUUGCUUUGAGAACCAGGAGGGGAUGAGAUAAGCACCAGAGGAACACUGGGCAGUCAGGGCCCAGCAUCCACCAACCCUUUCUUCCAGAUAACUCCUUUGUUCUCUGGGCUGGUCUCCCUCUUGCUCCUAUAGGGGCCCUUUCUGACUCUUCACCUGUUUUGAUUCUUCAGUGGUGCCCUUCCCGGGUCUGGGAGGGAAGGGCCCGAGGCCCACUCAGGGCUGCCCCAGGAUGGCCACUUCUCACUGCAGCCCAGACACCCUGGUCUAUAAGACACACUAUCCUUGCCACUGAGAAGGAAGGGACGUCAACACUUUUGAGCCAAGCCCUGUGUCCCCUGCAUCCUGCAAGGAAGAAGAAAAAUAAAGACCUGACUAUUUUUCACAGGUGCAACGGGUGACUAAAGACAGAAAGAGAGUGGUGUGGUUUUCACUUCAUCUUGUUGAGAAGCCAGGGCCUGAAGUCCAGAGAUCCCCAUUCACAUGCACCCUCUUGGGUGGGAAGGGGAGGAACUCUUACCUCCCUCUCUGCCAUGUUCUCCUCUCGUUGCCCAUUUGUGUACUAUCCUCCCUGUCCCCUACCUGACUGCAUGUGCCUUCAAUGCAAAGGUCUUACUGCUCAUCAGCUUUACAUCUGCAUCACAGUCACAAUUCCUGCACCUUACAGGCCUGGAUCAAAUUCUUGUGAAUGAGCAAAAGCAUCUCUAAAGGUCACCAGUGCCCUGCUUGUCUCAAUCCUAGCCGGACACUAGGCUAUAAUGCUCAUUAUAAAUGUGAAAAUAAGGAAGGAGACCACCUCUCCCAUUGUCUCCUGUUUCAAAAAGGAAGCAGAAAGUUAAAAAGAAGCAGAAGUGAGGUCAACAGCCAGACAGCUUGGCACCAAAAACCAGGCCUGGUAGUUAAACAUCAACUCCUAACCUAACUGCUUGUGUUAUCUGUAGAUGCCAGACAUCGUAUGAGGAAGCGCUGUGAAACUUUCUGUUCUGUUCUGCUAGCCCCCAUUACUGAUGCACGUAGCCCUCAAUCCCAUAGCCCCCGCUUGCACAAUGUAUCACGACCCUUUCACGUGGACCCCUUAGAGUUGUAAGCCCUUAAAAGGGACAGGAAUCUUCACUUUGGGGAGCUCAGACCUUGAGAUGCGAGUCUACUGAUGCUCCCAGCUGAUUAAAGCCUCUUCCUUCCUUAAACU
RNAcentral lists this long non-coding RNA (1291 nucleotides) under Homo sapiens (human). RNAcentral describes it as "HSALNT0287116". The record is from RNAcentral. Lineage: Eukaryota; Metazoa; Chordata; Mammalia; Primates; Hominidae.